GACGAACGCUGGCGGCGUGCUUAACACAUGCAAGUCGAACGGAAAGGCCCUGCUUUUGUGGGGUGCUCGAGUGGCGAACGGGUGAGUAACACGUGAGUAACCUGCCCUUGACUUUGGGAUAACUUCAGGAAACUGGGGCUAAUACCGGAUAGGAGCUCCUGCAGCAUGGUGGGGGUUGGAAAGUUUCGGCGGUUGGGGAUGGACUCGCGGCUUAUCAGCUUGUUGGUGGGGUAGUGGCUUACCAAGGCUUUGACGGGUAGCCGGCCUGAGAGGGUGACCGGCCACAUUGGGACUGAGAUACGGCCCAGACUCCUACGGGAGGCAGCAGUGGGGAAUAUUGCACAAUGGGCGGAAGCCUGAUGCAGCAACGCCGCGUGCGGGAUGACGGCCUUCGGGUUGUAAACCGCUUUCGCCUGUGACGAAGCGUGAGUGACGGUAAUGGGUAAAGAAGCACCGGCUAACUACGUGCCAGCAGCCGCGGUGAUACGUAGGGUGCGAGCGUUGUCCGGAUUUAUUGGGCGUAAAGGGCUCGUAGGUGGUUGAUCGCGUCGGAAGUGUAAUCUUGGGGCUUAACCCUGAGCGUGCUUUCGAUACGGGUUGACUUGAGGAAGGUAGGGGAGAAUGGAAUUCCUGGUGGGGCGGUGGAAUGCGCAGAUAUCAGGAGGAACACCAGUGGCGAAGGCGGUUCUCUGGGCCUUUCCUGACGCUGAGGAGCGAAAGCGUGGGGAGCGAACAGGCUUAGAUACCCUGGUAGUCCACGCUGUAAACGGUGGGUACUAGGUGUGGGGUCCAUUCCACGGGUUCCGUGCCGUAGCUAACGCUUUAAGUACCCCGCCUGGGGAGUACGGCCGCAAGGCUAAAACUCAAAGGAAUUGACGGGGCCCCGCACAAGCGGCGGAGCAUGCGGAUUAAUUCGAUGCAACGCGUAGAACCUUACCUGGGUUUGACAUGGAUCGGGAGCGCUCAGAGAUGGGUGUGCCUCUUUUGGGGUCGGUUCACAGGUGGUGCAUGGCUGUCGUCAGCUCGUGUCGUGAGAUGUUGGGUUAAGUCCCGCAACGAGCGCAACCCUUGUUCACUGUUGCCAGCACGUUAUGGUGGGGACUCAGUGGAGACCGCCGGGGUCAACUCGGAGGAAGGUGGGGAUGACGUCAAGUCAUCAUGCCCCUUAUGUCCAGGGCUUCACGCAUGCUACAAUGGCUGGUACAGAGAGUGGCGAGCCUGUGAGGGUGAGCGAAUCUCGGAAAGCCGGUCUCAGUUCGGAUUGGGGUCUGCAACUCGACCUCAUGAAGUCGGAGUCGCUAGUAAUCGCAGAUCGGCAACGCUGCGGUGAAUACGUUCCCGGG
RNAcentral lists this ribosomal RNA (1343 nucleotides) under uncultured bacterium. RNAcentral describes it as "16S ribosomal RNA". It matches the Rfam family "Bacterial small subunit ribosomal RNA", at positions 28 to 1378 of the family's 1533-position model. The record is from RNAcentral.